Molecule: non-coding RNA, 73 nt
Organism: Stegodyphus mimosarum
Lineage: Eukaryota; Metazoa; Arthropoda; Arachnida; Araneae; Eresidae
Source: Rfam
GCCUUCGUGGUGUAGUGGUCAGCACACUCGACACGUAUUCAAGAGGUCCGUGGUUCGAGUCCGGGCGAGAGCC